This 465-nucleotide ribosomal RNA is filed under the name Vreelandella stevensii. Its description in RNAcentral is "partial 16S ribosomal RNA". It matches the Rfam family "Bacterial small subunit ribosomal RNA", at positions 338 to 795 of the family's 1533-position model. Lineage: Bacteria; Pseudomonadati; Pseudomonadota; Gammaproteobacteria; Oceanospirillales; Halomonadaceae. The record is from RNAcentral.
CCUACGGGUGGCAGCAGUGGGGAAUAUUGGACAAUGGGCGAAAGCCUGAUCCAGCCAUGCCGCGUGUGUGAAGAAGGCCUUCGGGUUGUAAAGCACUUUCAGUGGGGAAGAAAGCCUUGGGGCUAAUACCCUCGAGGAAGGACAUCACCCACAGAAGAAGCACCGGCUAACUCCGUGCCAGCAGCCGCGGUAAUACGGAGGGUGCGAGCGUUAAUCGGAAUUACUGGGCGUAAAGCGCGCGUAGGCGGUCUGAUAAGCCGGUUGUGAAAGCCCCGGGCUCAACCUGGGAACGGCAUCCGGAACUGUCAGACUAGAGUGCAGGAGAGGAAGGUAGAAUUCCCGGUGUAGCGGUGAAAUGCGUAGAGAUCGGGAGGAAUACCAGUGGCGAAGGCGGCCUUCUGGACUGACACUGACGCUGAGGUGCGAAAGCGUGGGUAGCAAACAGGAUUAGAUACCCGGGUAGUC